GUAGGUGGCAAGCGUUGUCCGGAAUUAUGGGCGUAAAGCGCGCGCAGGCGGUUCUUUAAGUCUGAUGUGAAAGCCCACGGGCUCAACCGUGGAGGGUCAUUGGAAACUGGAGAACUUGAGUACAGAAGAGGAAAGCGGAAUUCCACGUGUAGCGGUGAAAUGCGUAGAGAUGUGGAGGAACACCAGUGGCGAAGGCGGCUUUCUGGUCUGUAACUGACGCUGAGGCGCGAAAGCGUGGGGAGCAAACAGGAUUAGAUACCCUGGUAGUCCACGCCGUAAACGAUGAGUGCUAAGUGUUAGGGGGGUUUCCGCCCCUUAGUGCUGCAGCUAACGCAUUAAGCACUCCGCCUGGGGAGUACGGCCGCAAGGCUG
This 372-nucleotide ribosomal RNA is filed under the name uncultured organism. RNAcentral describes it as "partial 16S ribosomal RNA". It matches the Rfam family "Bacterial small subunit ribosomal RNA", at positions 527 to 896 of the family's 1533-position model. The record is from RNAcentral.